RNAcentral lists this ribosomal RNA (446 nucleotides) under uncultured bacterium. RNAcentral describes it as "partial 16S ribosomal RNA". It matches the Rfam family "Bacterial small subunit ribosomal RNA", at positions 338 to 795 of the family's 1533-position model. The record is from RNAcentral.
CCUACGGGGGGCAGCAGUCGAGAAUCAUUCACAAUGGGGGAAACCCUGAUGGUGCGACGCCGCGUGGGGGAAUGAAGGUCUUCGGAUUGUAAACCCCUGUCAUGUGGGAGCAAAUUAAAAAGAUAGUACCACAAGAGGAAGAGACGGCUAACUCUGUACCAGCAGCCGCGGUAAUACAGAGGUCUCAAGCGUUGUUCGGAAUCACUGGGCGUAACGCGUGCGUAGGCUGUUUCGUAAGUCGUGUGUGAAAGGCGCGGGCUCAACCCGCGGACGGCACAUGAUACUGCGAGACUAGAGUAAUGGAGGGGGAACCGGAAUUCUCGGUGUAGCAGUGAAAUGCGUAGAUAUCGAGAGGAACACUCGUGGCGAAGGCGGGUUCCUGGACAUUAACUGACGCUGAGGCACGAAGGCCAGGGGAGCGAAAGGGAUUAGAUACCCCAGUAGUC